Molecule: ribosomal RNA, 253 nt
Filed under: uncultured bacterium
Lineage: Bacteria
Description: partial 16S ribosomal RNA
Rfam family: Bacterial small subunit ribosomal RNA
Source: RNAcentral
UACGAAGGGGGCUAGCGUUGCUCGGAAUUACUGGGCGUAAAGGGCGCGUAGGCGGACAGUUUAGUCAGAGGUAAAAGCCCAGGGCUCAACCUUGGAACUGCCUUUGAUACUGACUGUCUUGAGUUCGGGAGAGGUGAGUGGAACUGCGAGUGUAGAGGUGAAAUUCGUAGAUAUUCGCAAGAACACCAGUGGCGAAGGCGGCUCACUGGCCCGAUACUGACGCUGAGGCACGAAAGCGUGGGGAGCAAACAGG